GCUUGUCUCAAAGAUUAAGCCAUGCAUGUCUAAGUAUAAACUGCUUAUACUGUGAAACUGCGAAUGGCUCAUUAAAUCAGUUAUAGUUUAUUUGAUGGUACCUACUACUCGGAUAACCGUAGUAAUUCUAGAGCUAAUACAUGCAUCAAUACCCAACUGUUCGCGGAAGGGUAGUAUUUAUUAGGUAUAGACCAACCCUCCUCGGAGGUGCUUUGGUGAUUCAUAAUAACUCGCGGAUCGGUUUACCGAUGCAUCAUUCAAGUUUCUGCCCUAUCAGCUUUGGAUGGUAGGGUAUUGGCCUACCAUGGCUUUAACGGGUAACGGAGAAUUAGGGUUCGAUUCCGGAGAGGGAGCCUGAGAAAUGGCUACCACAUCCAAGGAAGGCAGCAGG
This 391-nucleotide ribosomal RNA is filed under the name uncultured fungus. RNAcentral's name for it is "partial small subunit ribosomal RNA". It matches the Rfam family "Eukaryotic small subunit ribosomal RNA", at positions 30 to 432 of the family's 1831-position model. The record is from RNAcentral. Lineage: Eukaryota; Fungi.